RNAcentral lists this transfer RNA (69 nucleotides) under Ictidomys tridecemlineatus (thirteen-lined ground squirrel). RNAcentral describes it as "Spermophilus tridecemlineatus (thirteen-lined ground squirrel) tRNA". It matches the Rfam family "tRNA". Rfam says of the family: Transfer RNA (tRNA) molecules are approximately 80 nucleotides in length. Their secondary structure includes four short double-helical elements and three loops (D, anti-codon, and T loops). Further hydrogen bonds mediate the characteristic L-shaped molecular structure. tRNAs have two regions of fundamental functional importance: the anti-codon, which is responsible for specific mRNA codon recognition, and the 3' end, to which the tRNAs corresponding amino acid is attached (by aminoacyl-tRNA synthetases). tRNAs cope with the degeneracy of the genetic code in two manners: having more than one tRNA (with a specific anti-codon) for a particular amino acid; and 'wobble' base-pairing, i.e. permitting non-standard base-pairing at the 3rd anti-codon position. The record is from Rfam by way of RNAcentral. Lineage: Eukaryota; Metazoa; Chordata; Mammalia; Rodentia; Sciuridae.
AGGGCUGUGGCUCAGUGGUAGAGUGCUUGCCUAGCAUGCAUGAGGCACUGGAUUCAAUCCUCAGCACCA